This 404-nucleotide ribosomal RNA is filed under the name uncultured bacterium. RNAcentral describes it as "bacterial SSU rRNA". It matches the Rfam family "Bacterial small subunit ribosomal RNA", at positions 355 to 776 of the family's 1533-position model. The record is from RNAcentral.
UGGGGAAUCUUGGACAAUGGGCGCAAGCCUGAUCCAGCGACGCCGCGUGGGUGAUGAAGGCCUUCGGGUUGUAAAGCCCUUUUCCCAGGGACGAUGAUGACGGUACCUGGGGAAUAAGCACCGGCUAACUCCGUGCCAGCAGCCGCGGUAAGACGGAGGGUGCUAGCGUUGUUCGGAAUUACUGGGCGUAAAGGGCGCGUAGGCGGCCGCAUAAGUCGGGUGUGAAAGCCCAGGGCUCAACCCUGGAAUUGCAUCCGAGACUGUGUGGCUCGAGACCGGGAGAGGAGAGUGGAAUACCCAGUGUAGAGGUGAAAUUCGUAGAUAUUGGGUGGAACACCGGUGGCGAAAGCGGCUCUCUGGCCCGGAUCUGACGCUGAGGCGCGAAAGCGUGGGGAGCAAACAGG